GCGAGUGAAGCGGGAAAAGCUCAAAUUUAAAAUCUGGUGGCCCUCGGCCAUCCGAGUUGUAAUCUAGAGAAGCGUUUUCCGCGCUGGACCGUGCACAAGUCUCCUGGAAUGGAGCGUCACAGAGGGUGAGAAUCCCGUCUUGGCACGGACACACCAGGGCUUCUGCGAUGCGCUCUCGAAGAGUCGAGUGUUUGGGAAUGCAGCUCAAAAUGGGUGGUGAACUCCAUCUAAAGCUAAAUAUUGGCGAGAGACCGAUAGCGAACAAGUACCGUGAGGGAAAGAUGAAAAGCACUUUGGAAAGAGAGUGAAACAGUACGUGAAAUUGUUGAAAGGGAAACGCUUGAAGUCAGUCGCGUCGACCGAGACUCAGCCUUGCCUCGGCUUGGUGUAUUUCUCGGCUGACGGGUCAGCAUCAAUUUUGCCCCUCGGAUAAUGGCAAGGGAAAGGUGACACCUUUACGGGUGUGUUAUAGUCUCCUGUCGCAUGCGAGGGUCGGGAUUGAGGAACUCAGCACGCGCCUCGGUGUCGGGGCCGCUUGGCUCACGCUACGUGCUUAGGAUGCUGGCGUAAUGGCUUUAAACGACCCGUCUUGAAACACGGACCAAGGAGUCUAACAUGCACGCGAGUGUUUGGGUGGAAAACCCAUGCGCGUAAUUAAAGUGAAAGUUGGGAUCUCUGUCGCGGAGAGCACCGACGCCCGGACCAGACCUUCUGUGACGGAUCUGCGGUAGAGCGUGUAUGUUGGGACCCGAAAGAUGGUGAACUAUGCCUGAAUAGGGUGAAGC
This 785-nucleotide ribosomal RNA is filed under the name Russula compacta. RNAcentral describes it as "partial large subunit ribosomal RNA". It matches the Rfam family "Eukaryotic large subunit ribosomal RNA", at positions 89 to 852 of the family's 3401-position model. Lineage: Eukaryota; Fungi; Basidiomycota; Agaricomycetes; Russulales; Russulaceae. The record is from RNAcentral.